AUUGAACGCUGGCGGCAUGCCUUACACAUGCAAGUCGAACGGUAACAGGUUAAGCUGACGAGUGGCGAACGGGUGAGUAAUGUAUCGGAACGUGCCCAGUCGUGGGGGAUAACUGCUCGAAAGAGCAGCUAAUACCGCAUACGACCUGAGGGUGAAAGCGGGGGAUCGCAAGACCUCGCGCGAUUGGAGCGGCCGAUAUCAGAUUAGGUAGUUGGUGAGGUAAAGGCUCACCAAGCCGACGAUCUGUAGCUGGUCUGAGAGGACGACCAGCCACACUGGGACUGAGACACGGCCCAGACUCCUACGGGAGGCAGCAGUGGGGAAUUUUGGGCAAUGGGCGCAAGCCUGAUCCAGCCAUGCCGCGUGCGGGAAGAAGGCCUUCGGGUUGUAAACCGCUUUUGUCAGGGAAGAAAAGGUUCUGGCUAAUACCUGGGACUCAUGACGGUACCUGAAGAAUAAGCACCGGCUAACUACGUG
RNAcentral lists this ribosomal RNA (477 nucleotides) under uncultured bacterium. RNAcentral's name for it is "partial 16S ribosomal RNA". It matches the Rfam family "Bacterial small subunit ribosomal RNA", at positions 30 to 507 of the family's 1533-position model. The record is from RNAcentral.